AUGGUGACAAGAAUGGGAGGGGUAGGGAUUAAGGCCCAUAUUUGUGUGAUGGGCAAAGAGGUGGCUUGUUUGGAAUUGGCCAUCAGUGCCGCACAAAGGAGUACAACCAUUAUCGGUCCUGAAAUGGGUCAUGGAGUGCCUGGAUACUUAAAGCAAUUAGUAUAUUAUAUAUGGAAAAAUUGGUUUUAAUUCUAUAAUAUAAAAGAUCCCUCUUAGAAUUAGAAUCAAAAGGAAUGAAAGUUCUUUAUGACUGCAAAUGUAAACCUUCUGUAACAAACUUGAAAACAACAAGCAAACAUACAUAAAUCAUUUCCACACAUCUUCUCUACAUACUUAGGCCUUCUGGUUUUGCACAUCUUUCUUAACCUCUUUUCAACAAGAC
RNAcentral lists this long non-coding RNA (382 nucleotides) under Fukomys damarensis (Damara mole-rat). Its description in RNAcentral is "lncRNA (ENSFDAG00000021867.1)". Lineage: Eukaryota; Metazoa; Chordata; Mammalia; Rodentia; Bathyergidae. The record is from RNAcentral.